AUAAAGUGUCACCAUUGAGACUAGUCAACAACUCCAUGGAAGAAACGCGAAGAAUAAAAUCAGAGGAUGAAAUCAGAAGUUAGAGAUUAGGUAGGUCAAAUUUGGAUGAUGAUGGUGACGGUGGUGGUGGUGAUGGAUUGAUUGUGAUGGUGAGAGUGAGGAAAGGGAAGGGAAUAACAAGGAUCCGAAAUGGUGUGGAACAGCAUGGUGGUGUUGGCGGUGGCACGUGCGUCAGCGGAAGCGUGGGAAUGCAUUGCGGAGCCUCUGAGCAGUGACCAGAUUCUGGAUCUGGUUUGCUGUUUCCCUUUGCAUCAACUCGCUCUCUGUCUCUACUCCUUCUUCUGCGCUCCUCACUUCAACUAUUCCUAUUUCCCUUCUGAUUCCGACGAAGACGACGAUGAUUCUUCUCGCUUCGACUACUAUUACCAAUCCUACUCCGACUCAACUCAAUAGGAAAUUGCCUGCUAAUUAUGUGUAUGAAGUGAUGUAACGAGACUUCGUUUGGUACGACACGAGAGAUCCUCAAUUGCUCAAUUGUCUAGUUGAUAAUAGAUGGUGAAAUCUUUUUCUGUUCUUUUCUUUUUCAGAAUACGAUGACACCAAGGACUUUAGCAGUGUUCAAGCUGUCCCCAUUGUAUAAAAGCAUACACUUAGAUUAUUGUAGUUGAUUGAUUCAUCUCUUCACAUUGUAUACCCUUGUAAAAAGUGAUUUGUGAGUGGUAAGAUAAUUUUAAGGUGCCCUUGAAGGGGUGUUGUGAUAUAAAUUCAAAACUGAACUUUGUUUAGUAAAUAUAUAUAUAGUACAUACAUUUUCUCAUCA
Vigna unguiculata (cowpea) is the source of this 820-nucleotide long non-coding RNA. RefSeq lists it as uncharacterized. The record is from RefSeq and is a predicted model, not a curated record. Lineage: Eukaryota; Viridiplantae; Streptophyta; Magnoliopsida; Fabales; Fabaceae.